Molecule: transfer-messenger RNA, 414 nt
Filed under: Burkholderiales
Lineage: Bacteria; Pseudomonadati; Pseudomonadota; Betaproteobacteria
Also listed under: 1 other name
Description: Hydrogenophaga sp011388215 Standard tmRNA
Rfam family: transfer-messenger RNA
About the family: Bacterial tmRNA, also known as 10Sa RNA or SsrA, is named for its dual tRNA and mRNA-like properties.
Source: RNAcentral
GGGGCUGUACCGGUUUCGACGUGGGUUCGGACACGCAGCAGGGCAUGUCGAGGUUCUGUCACCUCGUAAAACCGCAGAAACAAACCAACUGCAAACACCAACGCAGCAAACGACUCUUACUUCGCCCAAGUGGCGAAUGCCUAAGGUCGUAUCCGGGGACUAACCUCCCCGGUCCUCGCAGCAGCUCGUCGAUGGGCUGUGCCGAUGGCCGCAAGGCCUGAAGCCGCGAGGUCAUUCACAUCGACUGGACCUGCCACGGGCACCUUGUGGCAGGUCGAGAUCCAAGGGUGCUGGCUGUCCCGGUAGCGUGCCGCUGCGCGACCGGAACGGCGAGAUCCAAUCCAGACGGCUAAACAUGUAGAUCUGCGCGAAGAAGGCUUACGGACGGGGGUUCAAUUCCCCCCAGCUCCACCA